This 505-nucleotide ribosomal RNA is filed under the name Glomus sp. RNAcentral's name for it is "SSU rRNA". It matches the Rfam family "Eukaryotic small subunit ribosomal RNA", at positions 569 to 1078 of the family's 1831-position model. Lineage: Eukaryota; Fungi; Glomeromycota; Glomeromycetes; Glomerales; Glomeraceae. The record is from RNAcentral.
AGCAGCCGCGGUAAUUCCAGCUCCAAUAGCGUAUAUUAAAGUUGUUGCAGUUAAAAAGCUCGUAGUUGAAUUUCGGGAUCAGUAUGUUGGUCGUGCUUCGGUACGUACUGUCAUUACUGGUUUCUACCUUCUGAAGAACCUUGAUGUCAUUAAUUUGGUGUCUUGGGGAAUCAGGACUGUUACUUUGAAAAAAUUAGAGUGUUUAAAGCAAGCAUACGCUUGAAUACAUUAGCAUGGAAUAAUGAAAUAGGACGUUUGAUUCUAUUUUGUUGGUUUCUAGGAUCGACGUAAUGAUUAAUAGGGAUAGUUGGGGGCAUUAGUAUUCAAUUGUCAGAGGUGAAAUUCUUGGAUUUAUUGAAGACUAACUACUGCGAAAGCAUUUGCCAAGGAUGUUUUCAUUAAUCAAGAACGAAAGUUAGGGGAUCGAAGACGAUCAGAUACCGUCGUAGUCUUAACCAUAAACUAUGCCGACUAGGGAUCGGAUGAUGUUAUUUUUAAUGACUCA